RNAcentral lists this ribosomal RNA (497 nucleotides) under uncultured bacterium. RNAcentral describes it as "partial 16S ribosomal RNA". It matches the Rfam family "Bacterial small subunit ribosomal RNA", at positions 28 to 507 of the family's 1533-position model. The record is from RNAcentral.
GAUGAACGCUGGCGGCGUGCCUAAUACAUGCAAGUCGAGCGAACAGACGAGUAGCUUGCUCCUCUGACGUUAGCGGCGGACGGGUGAGUAACACGUGGAUAACCUCCCUAUAAGACUGGGAUAACUUCGGGAAACCGGAACUAAUACCGGAUAAUAUAUUGAACCGCAUGGUUCAAUAGUUAAAGACGGUUUUGCUGUCACUUAUAGAUGUAUCCGCGCCGCAUUAGCUAGUUGGUAAGGUAACGGCUUACCAAGGCAACGAUGCGUAGCCGACCUGAGAGGGUGAUCGGCCACACUGGAACUGAGACACGGUCAAGACUCCUACGGGAGGCAGCAGUAGGGAAUCUUCCGCAAUGGGCGAAAGCCUGACGGAGCAACGCCGCGUGAGUGAUGAAGGUCUUCGGAUCGUAAAACUCUGUUAUUAGGGAAGAACAAAUGUGUAAGUAAAUAUGCACGUCUUGACGGUACCUAAUCAGAAAGCCACGGCUAACUACGUG